CAGUCGCCACGGGAAUACGUAGGUGGCAAGCGUUGUCCGGAAUUAUUGGGCGUAAAGGGCUCGCAGGCGGUUUCUUAAGUCUGAUGUGAAAGCCCCCGGCUCAACCGGGGAGGGUCAUUGGAAACUGGGAAACUUGAGUGCAGAAGAGGAGAGUGGAAUUCCACGUGUAGCGAUGAAAUGCGUAGAGAUGUGGAGGAACACCAGUGGCGAAGGCGACUCUCUGGUCUGUAACUGACGCUGAGGAGCGAAAGCGUGGGGAGCGAACAGGAUUAGAUACCCCAGUAGUCCCUGUCUCUUAUAC
This 301-nucleotide ribosomal RNA is filed under the name uncultured bacterium. RNAcentral's name for it is "partial 16S ribosomal RNA". It matches the Rfam family "Bacterial small subunit ribosomal RNA", at positions 509 to 807 of the family's 1533-position model. The record is from RNAcentral.